UAUGUAUGUAUGUAUGUAUGCACAUGUAUGUAUGUACGUGUAUCAGUGUCGAUGUGUCAUUGUUUGUAGUGUGUGUGUGCGUGUGUGUGUGUACGUGCGUGUGUGUGUGCGCAUGAACCUGUAUUAGUGUUAUGACUUUUCAUUUGUGUAUGUGUGUGUGGUGUUUUCUGUACGAUUAUACGUGUUAAGUAGCUACUACGUUUGUGUGUGUAUGCGUGUAUGUGUUAUCUGAUGAGAGUGAGGUGGGAGCGUGAGAGCGUGUAUGCGUGUGUGCAUAUCUGUGCUUGCGUCAUGUUUAUGUGUGUGCGUGUUUGUGCGUGUGUUUGUGCGCAAUGCAAUCUAUCCCUUUCGGCGACUGACUUGUAAGACCAAAGAUUGAAACAGUAAUGUCGCUUUAUCUUACCACAACACCACCGAACAACAACAACAACAACAACAACAAUAGCUGCUACUACUACUACUACUACUACUACUACUACUACUACUACUACUACUACUACGACGACGACGACGACGACGACGACGACGACGACGACGGAACGUGGGAGAAAUUAUCCAGCCGCUCGACCUGCUAGAAACGGCUGUCAAAUUACCUUGAAAUUACACCGUGAAAUCUUGGGGGGAGGAGCAAAAAAAAACUCGAUGGAGUUGUCACGGCUGUAAUGAAUGCGUUGGAUAAUAGGCGUUUACUGGAUCGGGGCUAACCUUGGGUUAAAAAAAUAAAAACACAUCAUCAACAACCACCACUACUACUACUACUACGACUACUACUACUACCACUACUACUAUUACUACUACUAGAGUUACAUCCAAAGCAACAGCGGCGAAGAAGAAGGUGGUUGGUUUGUUGGUUGGUCAACAAUUCUCUUCUGAUGGGAUAAGAAAAAGAAAAAGAAACAAAGAAGCAGGAAAGAAAACAAAAAAGACGAUAAAGAAAAGCAAAACAACGUUAACAACGAGAACUGGAACAACAACAACAACAACAUCCAGGCUUAUAUCAAUCGUAUUUUAUAAUCGCUACGAAAUCUUUCUCCUCUCUUUUCCUCCUCUCCCCUCCCCUCUCUUUCUGUUAUUAUAUAUAUAUAUAUAUAUAUAUCACUUGUUCUUUCUAUCUCUCUCUCUCUCUUUCUCUCUCUGUAAUUCUCUGUCCUGUGUUUUUUUUGUCCGACCUAAACAAACCUUAAUCUCUUUCUCUGUUACACAUACAUACACGCAUACACAUACAUACACGCAUAUAUAUAUAUAUAAUAGAUUUCAUAUACGUUGAAAUAUGUAUAUAUAACAUGGGUAUAUAUACAUACAUAUAUAUAUAUAUAUGCUGUACAUAUGCGUAUAUAUGUAUGUGUAUGUUAUCUAUCUAUCUAUCUAUCUAUCUAUCUAUCUAUCUAUCUAUCUAUCUAUCUGUCUGUCUGUCUGUCCGUCUAUCUGUCUGUAUGUAUCUUUAUCUAUCUAUCUGUCUAUCUGUCUAUCUGUCUCUCUCUCUCUCUCUCUCUCUAUCUAUCUAUCUAUCUCUCUAUCGCAUCUGUUCUUUCGUUCUUUCUAUCUGUUAUUCAUCCGUUUCGUGUCUACGAAUUCUAUCUGGUACCAUUUCACAAACGAAAACAAAAACAAAACCGAACCUACCUACCUACCUACCCAUCCUCCUCCCACAAACCACAGCCUGCUCCCACGCAAUAAACCCAACGAAUUUUGGCAAAGGAACGAACUUUUAAAACUAACCAAGAACCAAAAUGAUUUUGAAACAAUCAUCGAAACACGACCCACUCUUUCCCUUGCUGCUUUCUUCUCGAAGAGAAAAGAAAAAGAAAAAGAAGAAUGAAGGAAUCAAAAACAAGCAAGAAGAAAAGAAAAGAACGAUAAACAUGCGAGUACUUGUCGCUGGACUGGGUGGGGCAUACCGUGUGACCACCUCCAAGUGUACCGGCAGACGAUCAUAUCGACUCCAUUUUUUUUAGAGUCCGAUCAGACAAGACGACAACACUAAUACAGAACAGCUAAAGAAAGGAAAAUCUGUUAAAACAGCCUUGAUCGAUUACCAGGAAAUUGCUUGUGGAAAUCGAAGUUGAAUGCCGAUAGACAUUCCGAAGUCUGCAUUAGAAAUCUUAUCAAAAGAUCAAUAUCUGUAUUUUAUUGAUAUGAACAGGUUUGUAUGAACAAGUGUGUGUAUGUGCUUGUGUGGGUUUGAGAGUGUGUGUGUGUGUAUGUAUGUGCAUGUGUACAUACAUAUAUGCACGUGUGCAUCCACACACAUACACACGCAUACACACACGCAAAUACAUAUGUGCACAUGUGUUUGAAUUUAAAACUAGAGAAUAAAUACUCAAAAGAUUUAGCCGAGUUAUAUAUAUUUUGCAGGUAAGCAAUAUAUAGCUGACCCUGGGAUGAUAAAACGCUUAGUGAGCCCUAAGGAAAGUUUGAACACAGUCUAUCGCCUUGCUUUGCUGUAGCACACACACACACACACGCAUACACACACACACACAUACACAUGCGCACACACACACAAUAGUUAUAAUUUCAUAAGUCCUCCAUAAUCAUUUUCCGUCCAGUAGAUUGACUUCAUUGGCAUAAGAUGUGGAUUCUCACCAUUAUUAUAGAUCACUGCCAAAAUAUGUGGAUGCUUUUGAUUGGCUAAAGUUUUAAAGCACAAGGCCCGAAACUUUUGGGGAGGGGGUCAGUAGAUUAGAUCAAUCCCAGUACGCAACUGGUACUUAAUUUUAUCAUCCCCGAAAGGAUGAAAGGCAAAGUCGACCUCGGCAGAAUUUGAACUCAGAAAAUAAAGACAAAUUUUUUCUUUAUUAAUACUAAAAAAAAAAAUGAUUUGUGUGUGUGUGUGUGUGUGUAUUUGUGUGUCUGUGUUUUCCCCCGUCUCCACACUUGUACUGCGUGACAACCGGUGUUGAUGUGUUUGCAUUCCCGUAACUUAGGGGUUCUGAAAAACAGAGCGAUAGAAUUAGUACCAAACUUAAAAAAAUAAAAAUAAAAGUACUGGGGGUUGAUUCAUUCGACUAAAAUUUUUCAAGGUGAUGCCCCUGCAUGGCUGUAGUAUAAUGACUGAAACAAGUAAAAUAUGAAAGAUUGAGGGAAAAGAAAAAACAAAAUUUUUAAGCAUUCGCUCGUUACAAGGUCCUUAGGCCACUGGAAACAUAAAAGUUACUAGAAUAAAAUGGACGCUAGAUAGAAGUCAAUAUGUGACGGUGUACAUUAGACUUAAAAGACUGGAGGUCAUAUUGAAGAGGAAAACAAGACUGUAGAAAGGAAUUCCGAAGUUCAGAGGUGCAAGCGAAGAAAACUGGUACUGUAAAGUGCUUUAUGACACUUAGGAGGUUGCACAGUAUACUGGUGAGAAUUGGAUGCAAGUCUAGUUGAUCGCUAAGUUCUUAAAGGAGGAACCAGAGAAGAGAGCUCAGCUGAACAAUGUCCAUAAAAAUACUUAUAGAAAAGAGACAAACAAGUCACUUGACGACGAUAAAUAGAAGAUAAAUCGGGACCAAUAGCAUUACAAAUACGGCGUUGAAUACGGUCCAACAGAGUUAAACAAUCCACAGGAUGAGAAGUGAAGAACAUAAAGGAAUAUAAAUAUUGACGGCUUAGAGAGGAAAUGAGGAAAAUUUCAUUCAGUAAAAUACUUCUGUCUGUCGGGAGACAGACGGGCCAGAAGCAGACCUAGAGCAAAAAGAGGAAAAAAGAAAGAAAAACAUUGAUGAGUCUCGCGAAUGGUGACGAAAGAAUUUGGGGAAAAUCUAGCUGUUUGACUUCAUUAUCUGAAAGACUAUUCAAACAAUCGAUCAGUUAAUUGUUUAAAUGGUUAAACAACGACUAAGGAAAAUAAGUAACUGCGUGGUAAGAACUUUGCUUCCGAACAAUAUUGUUCCACUUUCAGGACAAGACAACCCGGAACCAUAUGGUUGAUAAGCAAGCUCCUUACCACACAGCCACUCCUGCACCUAUGUGCAUGUAUGUAUAUAUAUAUAUAUAUA
Long non-coding RNA from Octopus bimaculoides (California two-spot octopus), 3980 nucleotides. The record is from RefSeq and is a predicted model, not a curated record. NCBI's taxonomy places the organism in Eukaryota, Metazoa, Mollusca, Cephalopoda, Octopoda, Octopodidae.